RNAcentral lists this ribosomal RNA (497 nucleotides) under uncultured bacterium. RNAcentral describes it as "partial 16S ribosomal RNA". It matches the Rfam family "Bacterial small subunit ribosomal RNA", at positions 28 to 507 of the family's 1533-position model. The record is from RNAcentral.
GAUGAACGCUGGCGGCGUGCCUAAUACAUGCAAGUCGAGCGAACAGACGAGGAGCUUGCUCCUCUGACGUUAGCGGCGGACGGGUGAGUAACACGUGGAUAACCUACCUAUAAGACUGGGAUAACUUCGGGAAACCGGAGCUAAUACCGGAUAAUAUAUUGAACCGCAUGGUUCAAUAGUGAAAGACGGUUGUGCUGUCACUUAUAGAUGGAUCCGCGCCGCAUUAGCUAGUUGGUAAGGUAACGGCUUACCAAGGCAACGAGGCGUAGCAGACCUGAGAGAGUGAUCGGCCACACUGGAACUGAGACACGGUCAAGACUCCUACGGGAGGCAGCAGUAGGGAAUCUUCCGCAAUGGGCGAAAGCCUGACGGAGCAACGCCGCGUGAGUGAUGAAGGUCUUCGGAUCGUAAAACUCUGUUAUUAGGGAAGAACAAAUGUGUAAGUAACUAUGCACGUCUUGACGGUACCUAAUCAGAAAGCCACGGCUAACUACGUG